AUGGAGAGCGCCUCCAAUGAGGAGACGCUGCCCCCGGCGCUGCCUCUGGCGACGCUGAUCGGCCGCGAGCUCCGCGGCGGCGGCUCCGAGCGCCCGCUCGUGCGGUACGGCCACUCCGGCUUCGCCAAGCGCGGCGAGGACUACUUCCUGGUCAAGCCCGACUGCCUCCGCGUCCCCGGCGACCCUUCCUCGGCCUUUUCCGUCUUCGCCGUGUUCGACGGCCACAAUGGCGUGUCGGCGGCGGUGUUCAGCAAGGAGCACUUGCUCGACGACGUGAUGAGCGCCGUGCCGCAGGGUAUCAGCCGCGAGGACUGGCUGCAGGUGCUGCCGCGCGCGCUUGUGGCAGGCUUCGUCAAGACAGAUAUUGACUUCCAGCGCAAGGGGGAAAUGUCAGGGACGACGGCGACGUUGGUCGUCAUCGAUGGGUUCACCGUGACUGUGGCGUCAGUCGGAGACUCCAGGUGCAUCCUUGACACUCAAGGUGGUGUGGUCUCUCUGCUAACCGUUGACCACAGGCUAGAGGAGAAUGUAGAGGAGCGGGAGCGUGUCACGGCGAGUGGAGGGGAGGUCAGCCGGCUGAACCUUUGCGGUGGGCAGCAGGUUGGCCCUCUCCGAUGCUGGCCAGGUGGACUGUGCCUUUCAAGAUCAAUUGGGGAUACCGAUGUUGGGGAGUUCAUCGUGCCAAUUCCACAUGUCAAGCAAGUGAAGCUCUCUAGUGCUGGAGGAAGGCUAAUAAUUGCAUCAGAUGGAAUAUGGGAUGCAGUGUCCUCAGAGAUUGCAGCGCAGGCGUGCAGAGGCUUGCCUGCAGAAUUGGCCGCAAAGCUUGUUGUUAAGCAAGCUCUAAAGACAACUGGAUUGAAAGAUGAUACAACUUGUGUAGUUGUUGAUAUCAUCCCAUCUGAUCAUUGUUCAACACCGCCACCAUCGUCUCCAAAGCAAAAUCAGAACAAGUUGAGGUUUCUUCUUUUUGGUAGGAGGUCCCAUAGCUCUGUUGGAAAGCUUGGUGACAAAAAGAAGUCUGCUUCAUUUGGAUUUGUGGAGGAAUUAUUUGAAGAAGGCUCUGCAUUGUUGGAAGAAAGGUUGGGUAGGAAUUCCCUGUCAAAAGCAAAUUUGCCCCCAUUUCGCUGUGCGAUCUGUCAAGUGGACCGAGUGCCAUUCGAAGAUUUAAUAACAGAUAAUGGGGGAGGUUACUGCUCUGCCCCGUCAACACCAUCGAGCUGUCCUUAUCUUUGUUCCGGUUGUAGAAAAAAGAAGGAUGCAAUGGAAGGUAAAAGAUCUAAUCGCUCGACUGCAUGCACUUGA
RNAcentral lists this ribosomal RNA (1302 nucleotides) under Triticum aestivum (bread wheat). Its description in RNAcentral is "partial small subunit ribosomal RNA". The record is from RNAcentral. Lineage: Eukaryota; Viridiplantae; Streptophyta; Magnoliopsida; Poales; Poaceae.